GAUGAAGAACGUAGCGAAAUGCGAUAAGUAGUGUGAAUUGCAGAAUUCAGUGAAUCAUCGAAUCUUUGAACGCACAUUGCGCCCCUUGGUAUUCCAUGGGGCAUGCCUGUUCGAGCGUCAUUUGUACCUUCAAGCUCUGCUUGGUGUUGGGUGUUUGUCUCGCCUUUGCGUGUAGACUCGCCUCAAAACAAUUGGCAGCCGGCGUAUUGAUUUCGGAGCGCAGUACAUCUCGCGCUUUGCACUCAUAACGACGACGUCCAAAAAGUACAUUUUUACACUCUUGACCUCGGAUCAGGUAGGGAUACCCGCUGAACUUAAGCAUAUCAUAAGCGGAGGA
RNAcentral lists this unclassified non-coding RNA (337 nucleotides) under soil metagenome. Its description in RNAcentral is "partial contains 5.8S ribosomal RNA, internal transcribed spacer 2, and large subunit ribosomal RNA". The stretch from base 1 to 120 matches the Rfam family "5.8S ribosomal RNA", at positions 35 to 154 of the family's 154-position model. The record is from RNAcentral.